CUAGUACCCUGUGUGCCUUGGAUGAAAGGAGCAAUCCGCUUUGGGACGGACCUGCGGCCCAUCAGCUAGUUGGUAGGGUAACGGCCUACCAAGGCGACGACGGGUAGGGGGCCUGAGAGGGUGGUCCCCCACAAUGGAACUGAGACACGGUCCAUACACCUACGGGUGGCAGCAGUAGGGGAUAUUGCACAAUGGGCGAAAGCCUGAUGCAGCGACGCCGCGUGGAGGAUGAAGGCCUUCGGGUUGUAAACUCCUUUUCGGGGGGAUGAGGAAGGACAGUACCCCCGGAAUAAGUCUCGGCUAACUACGUG
Molecule: ribosomal RNA, 311 nt
Filed under: uncultured bacterium
Lineage: Bacteria
Description: bacterial SSU rRNA
Rfam family: Bacterial small subunit ribosomal RNA
Source: RNAcentral